GUUCUUACUUUCAUUACACUCGGAGAAUAACAAAAGCAAAGCAAUGCAGAGCCUGCUUUUCUAGGGUGCCCCAGAGGACCAACUGGAUCUUACAUUAAAGCUAAUGUUGAGGAACUAGCUUUUGGUUGGAUAUGUGGUACUUGAUGAAUGAUGGGAGACCCCUUCGAUUCUAACCAUCAAGAAGUGGGGGCUGCAACUGUAGAUGGCAAUAGAAUUUCCUUUCAUGGUUUACUAGAAAGGCAAAUCAACAAGCUUAUGGUUGUUGUAGAGAUGAAAGAAGAGUUGGAAUCUAGGGUUUAUCAAGGGUGAUUGUCAAGGCAAAUCAAUAUGAGGACCAUUGGUUUCUGCUAUAGAGAACUCGUUUGUAUUUGUUAAUGAGGCCCUUCAUUCGACAUUGAGUUGUUUAAUGUUGUGGCUCAUGGAAAGAAAAAAAAAAGUUCAAUGUUGUGGUUUGAAACAUCCUUGUUAUGCAGAACUUAGUAAAUUGGUUUCCACUUACAACAACUUAAUUGUUAAUUAGAAUAAUAUGAGUGGCUACAUUUUUUA
Molecule: non-coding RNA, 546 nt
Organism: Corylus avellana
Lineage: Eukaryota; Viridiplantae; Streptophyta; Magnoliopsida; Fagales; Betulaceae
Source: RefSeq, a predicted model, not a curated record